GAUGAACGCUGGCGGCGUGCUUAACACAUGCAAGUCGAACGAAGCACUUUAUUUGAUUUCCUUCGGGACUGAUUAUUUUGUGACUGAGUGGCGGACGGGUGAGUAACGCGUGGGUAACCUGCCUUGUACAGGGGGAUAACAGUUGGAAACGGCUGCUAAUACCGCAUAAGCGCACGGCAUCGCAUGAUGCAGUGUGAAAAACUCCGGUGGUAUAAGAUGGACCCGCGUUGGAUUAGCUAGUUGGUGAGGUAACGGCCCACCAAGGCGACGAUCCAUAGCCGACCUGAGAGGGUGACCGGCCACAUUGGGACUGAGACACGGCCCAAACUCCUACGGGAGGCAGCAGUGGGGAAUAUUGCACAAUGGGCGAAAGCCUGAUGCAGCGACGCCGCGUGAGCGAAGAAGUAUUUCGGUAUGUAAAGCUCUAUCAGCAGGGAAGAUAAUGACGG
Molecule: ribosomal RNA, 449 nt
Filed under: uncultured bacterium
Lineage: Bacteria
Description: bacterial SSU rRNA
Rfam family: Bacterial small subunit ribosomal RNA
Source: RNAcentral